RNAcentral lists this ribosomal RNA (253 nucleotides) under uncultured bacterium. Its description in RNAcentral is "partial 16S ribosomal RNA". It matches the Rfam family "Bacterial small subunit ribosomal RNA", at positions 524 to 776 of the family's 1533-position model. The record is from RNAcentral.
UACGUAGGGUGCAAGCGUUAAUCGGAAUUACUGGGCGUAAAGCGUGCGCAGGCGGCUAUGCAAGACAGAUGUGAAAGCCCCCGGCUUACCCGGGGAUCUGCAUCCCAAACUGCUUGGCUUGAGUACGGGAGAGGAUAGGGGAAUUCCUGGUGUAGCGGUGAAAUGCGCAGAUAUCAGGAAGAACACCCGUGGCGAAGGCGGCUCUCUGGGACGGUACUGACGCUGAGACGCGAAAGCGUGGGGAGCGAACAGG